Molecule: ribosomal RNA, 461 nt
Filed under: uncultured bacterium
Lineage: Bacteria
Description: bacterial SSU rRNA
Rfam family: Bacterial small subunit ribosomal RNA
Source: RNAcentral
AACGAACGCUGGCGGCAUGCCUAACACAUGCAAGUCGAACGGGAUCCUAGCUUGCUAGGUGAGAGUGGCGGACGGGUGAGUAACACGUGGGAAUCUGCCUUUUGGUUCGGGAUAACCGCGGGAAACUGCGGCUAAUACCGGAUGCUCCCGAGAGGGAAAAGAUUUAUCGCCAGAAGAGGAGCCCGCGUCCGAUUAGGUAGUUGGUAGGGUAAUGGCCUACCAAGCCAACGAUCGGUAGCUGGUCUGAGAGGAUGAUCAGCCACACUGGGACUGAGAUACGGCCCAGACUCCUACGGGAGGCAGCAGUGGGGAAUAUUGGACAAAUGGGGGGCAACCCUGAUCCAGCAAUGCCGCGUGAGUGAUGAAGGCCUUAGGGUUGUAAAGCUCUUUUGCCAGGGAAGAUGAUGACUGUACCUGGAGAAUAAGCCCCGGCUAAACUUCGUGCCAGCAGCCGCGGUAAU